Molecule: ribosomal RNA, 386 nt
Filed under: Bacillus sp. WR-2
Lineage: Bacteria; Bacillati; Bacillota; Bacilli; Caryophanales; Bacillaceae
Description: bacterial SSU rRNA
Rfam family: Bacterial small subunit ribosomal RNA
Source: RNAcentral
GAUACUCCGGGAACCGGGGCUAAUACCGGAUGGUUGUUUGAACCGCAUGGUUCAAACAUAAAAGGUGGCUUCGGCUACCACUUACAGAUGGACCCGCGGCGCAUUAGCUAGUUGGUGAGGUAAUGGCUCACCAAGGCAACGAUGCGUAGCCGACCUGAGAGGGUGAUCGGCCACACUGGGACUGAGACACGGCCCAGACUCCUACGGGAGGCAGCAGUAGGGAAUCUUCCGCAAUGGACGAAAGUCUGACGGAGCAACGCCGCGUGAGUGAUGAAGGUUUUCGGAUCGUAAAGCUCUGUUGUUAGGGAAGAACAAGUACCGUUCGAAUAGGGCGGUACCUUGACGGUACCUAACCAGAAAGCCACGGCUAACUACGUGCCAGCAGC